This is a non-coding RNA of Arachis ipaensis, 417 nucleotides long. The record is from RefSeq and is a predicted model, not a curated record. Lineage: Eukaryota; Viridiplantae; Streptophyta; Magnoliopsida; Fabales; Fabaceae.
CUGCCAUCGAUUGUGGUCACACCGUUGCUGUUGCGCCCUGUUUUUGUUGAUAGAGCCACUGUUGAGAGUCUGUCGUCAGAGAAGCAUCGUCGGCGUUGCUGCUGCAAACUAUUUCAGCUACUGCCCUGGGAGUGAGAACGCCGUCGAACAGAAUGUGAGAAGGGAGAGGAGUUGUGUUCUUUAGCUGUCGCCGUCGUUGCCGAAACCAAGACAAAUUUACCGGAGAUAGUGUUGAUGAUAAUAAAGAACUGUUAGAGUUGCUGCUGCUGCUGCUAGUUUGGUUCGAGUCUGUUGCUGCUACAAACUAAAACAAAAGAGGGGUUUGCUGCGCUUAAUUAUCGAAUUUCGGCUAAUCGUGAACUGAUGAGGUAAUCAACACUCAAUUGAUGGUUUCUUGGUAAAUUCUCCAAAAAUGGG